Small nucleolar RNA from Nycticebus coucang (slow loris), 133 nucleotides. RefSeq annotates it as small nucleolar RNA SNORA84. The record is from RefSeq and is a predicted model, not a curated record. The transcript has a single exon. NCBI's taxonomy places the organism in Eukaryota, Metazoa, Chordata, Mammalia, Primates, Lorisidae.
GCCCUGUGGUUGCUGGAUGCUGUUGUGCAGGCACAGCUAUCCAGUAGAUACAAUGGGCCAUAGCAAUCCUGUGAUUUAUGCAUGGGGGCUGUUUCUCCUCAGCAGCCUCCACAGCCCAAUCACUGGCACAUGG